This 468-nucleotide ribosomal RNA is filed under the name uncultured bacterium. RNAcentral's name for it is "partial 16S ribosomal RNA". It matches the Rfam family "Bacterial small subunit ribosomal RNA", at positions 28 to 507 of the family's 1533-position model. The record is from RNAcentral.
GACGAACGCUGGCGGCGUGCUUAACACAUGCAAGUCGAACGGAAAGGCCCUGCUUUUGUGGGGUGCUCGAGUGGCGAAAGGGUGAGUAACACGUGAGUAACCUGCCCUUGACUUUGGGAUAACUUCAGGAAACUGGGGCUAAUACCGGAUAGGAGCUCCUGCUGCAUGGUGGGGGUUGGAAAGUUUCGGCGGUUGGGGAUGGACUCGCGGCUUAUCAGCUUGUUGGUGGGGUAGUGGCUUACCAAGGCUUUGACGGGUAGCCGGCCUGAGAGGGUGACCGGCCACAUUGGGACUGAGAUACGGCCCAGACUCCUACGGGAGGCAGCAGUGGGGAAUAGUGCACAAUGGGCGGAAGCCUGAUGCAGCAACGCCGCGUGCGGGAUGACGGCCUUCGGGUUGUAAACCGCGUUCGCCUGUGACGAAGCGUGAGUGACGGUAAUGGGUAAAGAAGCACCGGCUAACUACGUG